Molecule: ribosomal RNA, 253 nt
Filed under: uncultured bacterium
Lineage: Bacteria
Description: partial 16S ribosomal RNA
Rfam family: Bacterial small subunit ribosomal RNA
Source: RNAcentral
UACGGGGGGGGCAAGCGUUGUUCGGAAUUACUGGGCGUAAAGCGCGUGUAGGCUGCUCGGAAAGUCGGAUGUGAAAGCCCUGGGCUUAACCCAGGAAGUGCACUCGAAACUCCCGAGCUCGAGUCCUGGAGAGGAAGGCGGAAUUCUCGGUGUAGAGGUGAAAUUCGUAGAUAUUCGGAAGAACACCAGUGGCGAAGGCGGCUCACUGGCCCGGUACUGACGCUGAGGUGCGAAAGCGUGGGGAGCAAACAGG